GCGGCGGACGGGUGAGUAACACGUGGGCAACCUGCCCUGCAGACUGGGAUAACUUCGGGAAACCGGAGCUAAUACCGGAUAACACCGAAAACCGCAUGGUUUUCGGUUGAAAGGCGGCUUUUAGCUGUCACUGCAGGAUGGGCCCGCGGCGCAUUAGCUAGUUGGUGAGGUAACGGCUCACCAAGGCGACGAUGCGUAGCCGACCUGAGAGGGUGACCGGCCACACUGGGACUGAGACACGGCCCAGACUCCUACGGGAGGCAGCAGUAGGGAAUCUUCCGCAAUGGACGAAAGUCUGACGGAGCAACGCCGCGUGAGCGAAGAAGGUCUUCGGAUCGUAAAGCUCUGUUGUCAGGGAAGAACAAGUGCCGUUCGAACAGGGCGGUUACCUUGACGGUACCUGACGAGGAAGCCACGGCUAACUACGUGCCAGCAGCCGCGGUAAUAC
This 448-nucleotide ribosomal RNA is filed under the name Aeribacillus sp. G09D026. RNAcentral describes it as "bacterial SSU rRNA". It matches the Rfam family "Bacterial small subunit ribosomal RNA", at positions 95 to 526 of the family's 1533-position model. The record is from RNAcentral. Lineage: Bacteria; Bacillati; Bacillota; Bacilli; Caryophanales; Bacillaceae.